AUUUACAGAAAAGUUGUAAAGAGAGAGCAAAUACCUUGUAUUGAAGUGGAAAAAACAAAAGACAAAGCAGAGACCCACAGUUUCAAAGCUUGGCAGAGACUGACAGUCUCACGGCUGACAGGCUAAGGCCUGCCCCUCCUGCUAAAUUCACAAAGGUCACUGUGCCCAGAAGAUGAACUACUGAAACACAGCUGCCUGCCUCCCGAUGUCUUACAGAUAAACUGUAAAAGCAACAUUACCGCCGCCUCCCUACCCUUUGUUAAGUUCUGCUUCUGUAAAAUUCUGCUUGUUCCCCUGCCCUGCCUAAAGAGCAAGAUAAAAAUGAAAACAAACUUAGAAACGGGGCUCAGACUCUGGGAGGUGACUUCUGGUGGCCCCACUGGGGAAUCUGCCUGGCUUUCUUUCCCUUCAGUUCUCUGGGUGCUGCUCUCUUCCUUGGUCUGCCUGCUUCCGAGUGCCAUCUCAGUAUAACCACGGUGGUGAUGUAAAACAAAAACAAAAACAAAGGCCCAAAGCAAACAAAUCCAGGGCUGGCUAACAAAUGGGUUUG
Long non-coding RNA from Heterocephalus glaber (naked mole-rat), 550 nucleotides. The record is from Ensembl. NCBI's taxonomy places the organism in Eukaryota, Metazoa, Chordata, Mammalia, Rodentia, Bathyergidae.